CGAACGGGCUGGACGGUCGCCGGUCAAUAUCGACCGAUAUUGGCGGGAGGAAAGUCCGGGCCCCGCGGGAUCACGGUGAUGGGUAACACCCACCGGCCGAAAGGCUAGGGAAAGUGCCACAGAAAACAGACCGCCGAGGUACGCCUCGGUAAGGGUGAAACGGUGAGGUAAGAGCUCACCAGCAGGUCGGGUGACCGACUUGGCUCGGCAAACCCCACCGGGAGCAAGGUCAAGCAGGGGGUAGGGUCCGGUCCUCCGGACCGCGGCUGAUCCCGGCCGAACCCCCGGGUAGACCGCUGGAGGGGACGGGCAACCGUCCUCCUAGAGAAAUGACCGUCGCUCGAAGCACGGCUUCGAGAACAGAACCCGGCUUACAAGCCCGUCCUGUCC
RNAcentral lists this RNase P RNA (390 nucleotides) under Thermogutta sp. RNAcentral describes it as "RNase P RNA component class A". It matches the Rfam family "Bacterial RNase P class A". Rfam says of the family: Ribonuclease P (RNase P) is a ubiquitous endoribonuclease, found in archaea, bacteria and eukarya as well as chloroplasts and mitochondria. Its best characterised activity is the generation of mature 5'-ends of tRNAs by cleaving the 5'-leader elements of precursor-tRNAs. Lineage: Bacteria; Pseudomonadati; Planctomycetota; Planctomycetia; Pirellulales; Thermoguttaceae. The record is from RNAcentral.